Transfer RNA from Loxodonta africana (African savanna elephant), 73 nucleotides. It matches the Rfam family "tRNA". From Rfam's summary of the family: Transfer RNA (tRNA) molecules are approximately 80 nucleotides in length. Their secondary structure includes four short double-helical elements and three loops (D, anti-codon, and T loops). The record is from Rfam. NCBI's taxonomy places the organism in Eukaryota, Metazoa, Chordata, Mammalia, Proboscidea, Elephantidae.
GCCCAGAUAGCUCAGUUGGUAGAGCAUCAGGUUUUUAAUCUGAGGGUCCAGGGUUCAAGUCCCUGUUCUGGCA